This 438-nucleotide long non-coding RNA is filed under the name Trifolium pratense (red clover). RNAcentral's name for it is "long non-coding RNA (TPRA_LNC009671)". The record is from RNAcentral. Lineage: Eukaryota; Viridiplantae; Streptophyta; Magnoliopsida; Fabales; Fabaceae.
AGAACACAAACCCUAAAUCUGAUUCAAAGAAAAACAGAAAAGGGGAGAAGACAGAAAUUCAAAACCUUAAAUCAUCAUAAUAUAAGUAACGACAAAUUAAAAAGAGAACAACACAAAAUAUGGAAAAAUCAUUGCCAAAAAAAAAGUUUCAAUAGAGAGAGAACAAAAAACCUCGUUGCAUGAGACUAUCGACAAAACGACAUAAUCUAUCGAAAGAAGUUGCGUCUUCAUUCAAGAAGUUGUUACAUCGAAGCGGAGAACGUCGUGUGAAUAGAAGAGUGAGGUCCAUCGAUUGGGAAGAAUGGUUGUGGUGAACGCGAGUUUGGGUUUGAGAGAGAGAGAGAGAGGGAGAGAGAGGGAGAGAGAGAGAUAGAGAGAGUGAAGUGUUUAAUGUGUAAAAAAUGUAGGUGAUUAAGGGCCUGUUUGAGAAAGAAGUGG